This 401-nucleotide unclassified non-coding RNA is filed under the name soil metagenome. RNAcentral's name for it is "partial contains 5.8S ribosomal RNA, internal transcribed spacer 2, and large subunit ribosomal RNA". The stretch from base 1 to 121 matches the Rfam family "5.8S ribosomal RNA", at positions 35 to 154 of the family's 154-position model. The record is from RNAcentral.
GAUGAAGAACGUAGCGAAAUGCGAUAAGUAAUGUGAAUUGCAGAAUUCAGUGAAUCAUCGAAUCUUUGAACGCACCUUGCGCCCUUUGGCCAUUCCGAAGGGCAUGCCUGUUUGAGUAUCAUGAACACCUCAACUCUCAUGGCUCGCCAUGAUGAGCUUGGAUUUGGGGGUCUUGCUGGCCUGUGGUCGGCUCCUCUCAAAUGGAUCAGCUUGCCAGUGUUUGGUGACAUCACAGGUGUGAUAACUAUCUGCGCUUGUGGUUUUCCAUCAGAUAACCUUCAGUGAUGGAGGUUCGCUGGAGCUCAUAAACGUCUCCCCUAAGCGGGGACAGCCCUUUGAAUGUUUGAUCUCAAAUCAGGUAGGACUACCCGCUGAACUUAAGCAUAUCAAUAAGCGGAGGA